GCCAGGUGUGGUGGUGCAUGCCUGUAAUGCCAGCUGCUCAGGAGGCUGAGGCAGGAUGAUCACAAGUUCAAAGCCAUCCUUAGUAACAGCGAGGUGCUAAGGAACUCAGUGAGACCCUGACUCUA
RNAcentral lists this small RNA (125 nucleotides) under Marmota monax (woodchuck). Lineage: Eukaryota; Metazoa; Chordata; Mammalia; Rodentia; Sciuridae. The record is from RNAcentral.